AUCUAUAUAGUAUAAAUAUUACAUUUGAUUUCCAAUCAAAAAAUCUUUUAAAAGUGUAGAUA
This 62-nucleotide transfer RNA is filed under the name Harmonia axyridis. Its description in RNAcentral is "tRNA-Gly". Lineage: Eukaryota; Metazoa; Arthropoda; Insecta; Coleoptera; Coccinellidae. The record is from RNAcentral.